RNAcentral lists this ribosomal RNA (247 nucleotides) under uncultured bacterium. RNAcentral describes it as "partial 16S ribosomal RNA". It matches the Rfam family "Bacterial small subunit ribosomal RNA", at positions 335 to 578 of the family's 1533-position model. The record is from RNAcentral.
GAGCCUACGGGAGGCAGCAGUGAGGAAUAUUGGUCAAUGGGCGGGAGCCUGAACCAGCCAAGUCGCGUGAGGGAAGACGGUCCUACGGAUUGUAAACCUCUUUUGCCGGGGAGCAACGGGGUCCUUGCGAGGUCCCAAUGAGAGUACCCGGAGAAAAAGCAUCGGCUACCUCCGUGCCAGCAGCCGCGGUAAUACGGAGGAUGCGAGCGUUAUCCGGAUUUAUUGGGAUUAAAGGGUGCGUAGGCGG